UACGAAGGGGGCUAGCGUUGCUCGGAAUUACUGGGCGUAAAGCGCACGUAGGCGGCUUUCUAAGUCGGGGGUGAAAUCCUGGAGCUCAACUCCAGAACUGCCUUCGAUACUGGAGAGCUCGAGUCCGGGAGAGGUGAGUGGAACUGCGAAUGUAGAGGUGAAAUUCGUAGAUAUUCGCAAGAACACCAGUGGCGAAGGCGGCUCACUGGCCCGGUACUGACGCUGAGGUGCGAAAGCGUGGGGAGCAAACAGG
RNAcentral lists this ribosomal RNA (253 nucleotides) under uncultured bacterium. Its description in RNAcentral is "partial 16S ribosomal RNA". It matches the Rfam family "Bacterial small subunit ribosomal RNA", at positions 524 to 776 of the family's 1533-position model. The record is from RNAcentral.